Molecule: ribosomal RNA, 2814 nt
Filed under: Klebsiella pneumoniae
Lineage: Bacteria; Pseudomonadati; Pseudomonadota; Gammaproteobacteria; Enterobacterales; Enterobacteriaceae
Description: bacterial LSU rRNA
Rfam family: Bacterial large subunit ribosomal RNA
Source: RNAcentral
UUAAGCGACUAAGCGUACACGGUGGAUGCCCUGGCAGUCAGAGGCGAUGAAGGACGUGCUAAUCUGCGAAAAGCGUCGGUAAGGUGAUAUGAACCGUUAUAGCCGGCGAUGUCCGAAUGGGGAAACCCAGUGCAAUUCGUUGCACUAUCGUUAACUGAAUACAUAGGUUAACGAGGCGAACCGGGGGAACUGAAACAUCUAAGUACCCCGAGGAAAAGAAAUCAACCGAGAUUCCCCCAGUAGCGGCGAGCGAACGGGGAGCAGCCCAGAGUCUGAAUCAGCUUGUGUGUUAGUGGAACGGUCUGGAAAGUCCGACGGUACAGGGUGAUAGUCCCGUACACCAAAAUGCACAGGCUGUGAACUCGAAGAGUAGGGCGGGACACGUGGUAUCCUGUCUGAAUAUGGGGGGACCAUCCUCCAAGGCUAAAUACUCCUGACUGACCGAUAGUGAACCAGUACCGUGAGGGAAAGGCGAAAAGAACCCCGGCGAGGGGAGUGAAAAAGAACCUGAAACCGUGUACGUACAAGCAGUGGGAGCACCUUCGGGUGUGACUGCGUACCUUUUGUAUAAUGGGUCAGCGACUUAUAUUCUGUAGCAAGGUUAACCGUAUAGGGGAGCCGCAGGGAAACCGAGUCUUAACUGGGCGUUAAGUUGCAGGGUAUAGACCCGAAACCCGGUGAUCUAGCCAUGGGCAGGUUGAAGGUUGGGUAACACUAACUGGAGGACCGAACCGACUAAUGUUGAAAAAUUAGCGGAUGACUUGUGGCUGGGGGUGAAAGGCCAAUCAAACCGGGAGAUAGCUGGUUCUCCCCGAAAGCUAUUUAGGUAGCGCCUCGUGAACUCAUCUUCGGGGGUAGAGCACUGUUUCGGCUAGGGGGUCAUCCCGACUUACCAACCCGAUGCAAACUACGAAUACCGAAGAAUGUUAUCACGGGAGACACACGGCGGGUGCUAACGUCCGUCGUGAAGAGGGAAACAACCCAGACCGCCAGCUAAGGUCCCAAAGUCAUGGUUAAGUGGGAAACGAUGUGGGAAGGCACAGACAGCCAGGAUGUUGGCUUAGAAGCAGCCAUCAUUUAAAGAAAGCGUAAUAGCUCACUGGUCGAGUCGGCCUGCGCGGAAGAUGUAACGGGGCUAAACCAUGCACCGAAGCUGCGGCAGCGACACUAUGUGUUGUUGGGUAGGGGAGCGUUCUGUAAGCCUGCGAAGGUGUGCUGUGAGGCAUGCUGGAGGUAUCAGAAGUGCGAAUGCUGACAUAAGUAACGAUAAAGCGGGUGAAAAGCCCGCUCGCCGGAAGACCAAGGGUUCCUGUCCAACGUUAAUCGGGGCAGGGUGAGUCGACCCCUAAGGCGAGGCCGAAAGGCGUAGUCGAUGGGAAACAGGUUAAUAUUCCUGUACUUGGUGUUACUGCGAAGGGGGGACGGAGAAGGCUAUGUUAGCCGGGCGACGGUUGUCCCGGUUUAAGCAUGUAGGCUGGUUAUCCAGGCAAAUCCGGAUAAUCAAGGCUGAGGUGUGAUGACGAGGCACUACGGUGCUGAAGUAACAAAUGCCCUGCUUCCAGGAAAAGCCUCUAAGCAUCAGGUAACAUCAAAUCGUACCCCAAACCGACACAGGUGGUCAGGUAGAGAAUACCAAGGCGCUUGAGAGAACUCGGGUGAAGGAACUAGGCAAAAUGGUGCCGUAACUUCGGGAGAAGGCACGCUGGUGUGUAGGUGAAGCCCCUGCGGGUGGAGCUGAGACCAGUCGAAGAUACCAGCUGGCUGCAACUGUUUAUUAAAAACACAGCACUGUGCAAACACGAAAGUGGACGUAUACGGUGUGACGCCUGCCCGGUGCCGGAAGGUUAAUUGAUGGGGUUAUCCGUAAGGAGAAGCUCUUGAUCGAAGCCCCGGUAAACGGCGGCCGUAACUAUAACGGUCCUAAGGUAGCGAAAUUCCUUGUCGGGUAAGUUCCGACCUGCACGAAUGGCGUAAUGAUGGCCAGGCUGUCUCCACCCGAGACUCAGUGAAAUUGAACUCGCUGUGAAGAUGCAGUGUACCCGCGGCAAGACGGAAAGACCCCGUGAACCUUUACUAUAGCUUGACACUGAACAUUGAGCCUUGAUGUGUAGGAUAGGUGGGAGGCUUUGAAGCGUGGACGCCAGUCUGCGUGGAGCCAACCUUGAAAUACCACCCUUUAAUGUUUGAUGUUCUAACGUUGGCCCCUGACCGGGGUUGCGGACAGUGUCUGGUGGGUAGUUUGACUGGGGCGGUCUCCUCCCAAAGCGUAACGGAGGAGCACGAAGGUUAGCUAAUCCUGGUCGGACAUCAGGAGGUUAGUGCAAUGGCAUAAGCUAGCUUGACUGCGAGCGUGACGGCGCGAGCAGGUGCGAAAGCAGGUCAUAGUGAUCCGGUGGUUCUGAAUGGAAGGGCCAUCGCUCAACGGAUAAAAGGUACUCCGGGGAUAACAGGCUGAUACCGCCCAAGAGUUCAUAUCGACGGCGGUGUUUGGCACCUCGAUGUCGGCUCAUCACAUCCUGGGGCUGAAGUAGGUCCCAAGGGUAUGGCUGUUCGCCAUUUAAAGUGGUACGCGAGCUGGGUUUAGAACGUCGUGAGACAGUUCGGUCCCUAUCUGCCGUGGGCGCUGGAGAAUUGAGGGGGGCUGCUCCUAGUACGAGAGGACCGGAGUGGACGCAUCACUGGUGUUCGGGUUGUCAUGCCAAUGGCACUGCCCGGUAGCUAAAUGCGGAAGAGAUAAGUGCUGAAAGCAUCUAAGCACGAAACUUGCCCCGAGAUGAGUUCUCCCUGAGACUUUAAGUCUCCUGAAGGAACGUU